Aptenodytes forsteri (emperor penguin) is the source of this 47-nucleotide non-coding RNA. The record is from Rfam. NCBI's taxonomy places the organism in Eukaryota, Metazoa, Chordata, Aves, Sphenisciformes, Spheniscidae.
CCAAAGGCUCUUUUUAGAGCCACCCACUUCCUCGUAAAAGGAGCUGU